UAACGUAUCUAUAUAGAUGGCUAGGGGUCCAGCCAUGAUUUAAUUCGGAAAAUUCAAUCAAGUACUUGACUGAGUACGGAAUUGAUGGUACUUGGGGCCCUCAUCAAGCCCUUAUAUAAUUUUGAUUUUUUAACCAUGUUAUUAGUUGCAUUGAUGCUGGUUUUUGUUUGUGAUACGUGAAGAUACGCCUGAAUAAAGUUUCAGAGUUGAUACACAGUUCUACCAAACACCAAAACUUGGACAGUGCAGGCGUUUUUGUUCACUUUCAGGAGAUAAUCGAUAUGGAUGAUAGAACAUAUGAAGCUGUUGCAGGAAGUGACUUUGUCAUUACUAGAGUUGCAUUUCGAGACAACUCUUCAAAGUACUACAUAAAUGACCAUGGAAGUAAUUUUACAGAGGUCACUAAGAAAUUGAAAGGAAAAGGAGUAGACUUGGACAACAAUCGGUUUUUUUAUUCUUCAGGUGAAGUCAAGUAAAUUUCUCUAAUGAAGCCAAAGGCUCAAGUCCUCACGAUGAAGGGUUUCUUGAGUAUCUUGAGGAUAUCAUUGGAACUAACCAAUACGUUGAAAAGAUCGAAGAAUCCAAUAAGGAAGUCCUUUAAUGAUGGUUCGCCCUCGAAUAAUUACAGAAGACGCACAGGAGAAGUUAUCGGUAUAGCUGUCGGAUGUGCAGGUGGACUACUGAUACUCGCAUCCAUUUUCUAUCCAUGGUGGAUGAAGGAUGCACCUGACCAUAUGCGAGUGCACACAGACUCACUGAGAUUUGUAUUUUCAGCAUUAUUGUAAUUGUAAUUGUAAUCAAUUGAAUGAAGGAUUGUAAUUGAAUGAAUGAAU
Molecule: long non-coding RNA, 833 nt
Organism: Magnolia sinica
Lineage: Eukaryota; Viridiplantae; Streptophyta; Magnoliopsida; Magnoliales; Magnoliaceae
Exons: 4
Source: RefSeq, a predicted model, not a curated record